UUAGGCGAUCCUUGGUGUGAUAAUUAUCUACACUUUGGAUAGUCUAAUGGUUCCAUUGGGAUUAGUUGGUAUUGCGAUUAAGUUUGCUUUACUUGAGUCUCAGAGGAAAAGAUAAGUUCUGCUUUCUAACCGUCUGUGUUACAUGGACAAUUUAUUGACUAUUUGACCUCAAAUCAGGUAGGACUACCCGCUGAACUUAA
RNAcentral lists this unclassified non-coding RNA (200 nucleotides) under soil metagenome. Its description in RNAcentral is "partial contains internal transcribed spacer 2 and large subunit ribosomal RNA". The record is from RNAcentral.